UUCCUUGUAACUCAAUCGGAAGAGUGUACGACUGUUAAUCGUAAAGUAGCGAGAUCGAAACUCGCCAAGGAAG
Molecule: transfer RNA, 73 nt
Filed under: Ostreococcus tauri virus 2
Lineage: Varidnaviria; Bamfordvirae; Nucleocytoviricota; Megaviricetes; Algavirales; Phycodnaviridae
Also listed under: 3 other names
Rfam family: tRNA
About the family: Transfer RNA (tRNA) molecules are approximately 80 nucleotides in length.
Source: Rfam by way of RNAcentral